Molecule: long non-coding RNA, 1105 nt
Organism: Micropterus dolomieu (smallmouth bass)
Lineage: Eukaryota; Metazoa; Chordata; Actinopteri; Centrarchiformes; Centrarchidae
Exons: 2
Source: RefSeq, a predicted model, not a curated record
GUCACUUCCUACAGCUCUGCUGACACACUUGCAAGACCCUCGUGAAUCAUUGCAACUCUGGGAUCCCAGAGUACAACACGCCAGAUCGUCUCCGAGUCGGUUCCAGUGGUCUUUCGAUUCCCAGUGCCACCGCCACUCCCGCAGUUGUUGACUCGAGUGAGAUUUCACAGAAAGAGCUCCUUGUCCUUGCCGCCACCCGGCGCUCCAGAGACUUUGCUGGCCAGCUUCACUGAGAUUCAGCUGUCCAGCACACUAGAGACUUUGCCACCCAGCACCGGACUUCCACCCGGCCUCCACACAGGUAUCACCCACGCCACCGAUGUCCAGGUCGCACAACUGAGGUCUCUAGCUGAGCUUCGGUCCUGCCUCCAGGCAGCCUAAGGUCUGCAGCUGCACUUCAGUCCUGCCUCCUGAUCGUCCGACUGAGGGCUCCUGCAGCACUUCUGUCCUGCUCUCUCGCCAACCAACUGAGAGCACCAGCUCUUUUUCUCUGCUCCCCAAGUACUUGCCCCUGUCUUUGGGUGUGGGUAGUGUUAUUUGCUGAUUUAUUUUGUUAAACCCUUCCUCCUGGGUUUGUGUAUGUCACUUCCUGUCUGUGUUGUCUUGCUCUCUGUGUAGGUUUGGCAUUGUGUCAAAAUAUGGGCAGGCAUCAAUGAUAGACAGUCAUGCUGCUUUACCUAUUUCUGCUUAAUUUACUCCAGUAAAAUGUGAGCACAUUAAAAUACCACAUGGUUCAUCCUAGGUGGGAAACUGCUAUUAAAUGCCACCAUGUAAACGUUAAUGGCAUUCUUGUAAUGUAAAAUGUGUGAUGUGUACAUUUAAUGUAAUCUUGUUAUGCUCUCUUUAGAAUUUUCACCUUGCACUAGUUCAUAGACUGAUUUCUUGAUUUGUAUAUUUUUAAGCUGAUUUUUUUAAAAAUUGCAUUUGAGUGGACAUACAUGUGGUCCUUAGUCCUGAGUAUUAUUAAUGUGCUGCAGUGAGAUGGUUAAUGAUGGUGACUUAUGAGCAAUGCUAUUAUGGCAAUGUUUGUUGUUUUACGUACUCUUUCACAACUGCACACAAAGUGGCCAUUGUUUGGUCACUGUGUAUUAAAAUGAUACAUGCA